GAAGUGUUGAGCUGUGCCAGCUGGAUGUGGUCCCUAAAAGUCACUGCCCUGUGACUGAAGGUGGCCCUGUUCCCAAGCUGGGGGGGAUUGUCCUCAUCACCAUGGUGACCAUGCCCAUGGAUGGUCCCAGGGGGUGGCACGGACACUCACCUGAUGUGCAGAGAGAAAGGAGAUAAAAUGAAUUUAUGGAUGUGACAUGGGAUCGUCUGGGGAGGAGACUUGUGCUGCUUCCACAGGGUUCUCACAAUCCCGAAUAAGAGCAAACCUUCCUGGUACCAGCUGUUAAGGAUCCAUCCCAGGGUCCACCGUCCUCCUGGAGAGGAGAACAGGGCUCGGAAAACAAGCUGGCUCCGAGCCCUUCUCCUCCUGCAGCCUUGCUCUGCCAGAGUUGGGCAUUAAUUCAUCACCUGGCUGCAAACAGUUCAGGAGUAGCUCUGCUUCAGGAGGGAGGAAAGGGAUGAGCUCUUCAUCUAGCCAGCUUUCCUGGGAGCCUCACUCUGAGCCACGGCGCUGGGAUUUGGGAGCUGUGCCAGCCCGGCUCAGGGUCAGGUACCGGCAAACGCGGUGUGUCACGGCCCGGGUGGGCUCCGUGCUCUGGCUCAGGGUCAGGUACCGGCAAACGCGGUGUGUCACGGCCCGGGUGGGCUCCGUGCUCUGCGAGGGGCUCUGGCAGUGGGCCCGGACAGCCAGCGUGUCCCAGGGCAGGCCCAAAGCCGGGCCGGGCUCGGGAGGGACUCAUGGAUGAGCCGGCAGCAUCGGCUGGGAAUGGGGCAGUCCCCAGGUUCUCCCCUUUGCAAGGGCUGAUGCUCAAGGUCUGGCUGGGGCUGGGCGCUGUUGACCUGGACCGUGUCGUGAUUCCUCCGCAUUCUCCCCCUCUACGCCGUCGGGAUCCCCCCCCGCUCCCGCCAUGACGUGGUCCUGCGAGAGGGGCCCCGGGGCAGGCACGGGGUCUCCCAGCCCCUGGCCGGGCUCCCUGCGCGGGAAGGCCGCUGCCCUUGUGAGGGCCCGCCGGGGCCUGUGCGCCGCUCGGGUGCCCCGGCACAAGAGUGAGGGCUUGGAAGGGCUGGGGCAAGUCCAGAAGAGGCCACAGAGUUAAUGAGGGGAGUGGAGCACCCCCCCCUGUGGAGGCAGGAUGGGAGAAUUUGGGCUGUUCACCCCAGAGAAGAGAAGGUUGUGUGGAGAGCUCACAGCGCCUUCCAGGAUCUAAAGGGAAGCUGCAGAGGGACUCUCCACCAGGAACUGGCGUGACAGCACAAAGAGGGAUGCCAGAGAGAAGCUCCACCAGGCUGAAGAUGCUUCUCCAUCCCCCUGUCCCUUGAAACAGCCCUGAUGUCCAUCCAGCAUUUGCACAGGAUGGGGUCGGGUCCCCUGGGCUGCUCCUCAGCACUGCAACAGCAGAAAUAACCAGAGACCAACUGGAAAUCUGUGCACCAGCUCCUGCCAGGGCUGCAAGACUCAGUGCACUCAUUAGGGAUUCAGCUGUGAUUCCCCUCUUCGAGCUGACAGCAGCUCUCACCAUCUGGAGAGAGGUGUGCUUCUCCCUGGCUGAGCCUUCCAGCGUGGAGCUGCCGGAGGAGCACGAGGAAACAUCACAAACUGGGAAACAUCAGGUUGUCUCUCAGAGGGAAAAAUGGAGAGUCCUGAGUCGAGUGUUGACAUUGGAGGCAGAAUCUGAGCCAAGGAAGAGCUGGGGGAUGGAGCAAGGCAGGGGCUGCGAGUGUCUCCGGGCACAGAGCUCAUCCUGCACCGAACUCAGAAUGCGCAGAUGGAGUUUUGGAGAACAAAGAGCUAAUCCUGAGUGACCUGACAUCAUCCCCAGCAUGGAGAACAAGGUGUUGAGCCGGGCUGCCGCUGAGCACACCUAUUAAAUGUGUCCUCUCCGCCAUGAAUUAUGUAUCUCUGCAUUUCCAUUUCCCCACUGCCGCUUGUUUGAUGAAAUUCUCCUCAGCUGAUAAGGAUUAAGCCACCUUCUCCAAAGCACAGCACCGAAGAGCCCUGUGCUAAUAAACCGGGAUAUUGAAAGGCCAGGAGGAUGCUGCUUCUGGAGUUGUGCUGUUUCCCAGAAGGAUCACGGAGGAGUGGAUCUCCAAAGCCAGCCUCGCUCAGGGAGCCGUGGUGGCAGCCCAGAAAUUCCUGGGGACACUGCUGUCACAGAAGGCAAGAAACGCUCCAGCAAGCUGCUCUAGGGCUGAACCCUUGAGCAGGAGAGGUCUCCACGGAGCUCAGCACAGGCAGCCCCAGCUGCCAGGGAACGGGGUGCCCGGUGCUGCCAGCUGGGAGCUGCAGCUGUCCAUCCUGGAGCAAUCUCCCCUUCCUGCACAUCCCAACCCCACUUUCUGCUCCUGCUGCUGCUCUCCCGCUGCCUUCCCCUGCUCUGGCUGGCACGCAGAGGGCAACUUCCGAACGAACUGCUGCAGAUUCCAAGAGCUUUCUGAGGGGGAUGGCAAAAUGGAGAGAAAUCCAAGAAUUCAAGAAACUCACGUGCUGCAGAUGGAUACGUAGGUGCUCGGCCAUGUGGGAGCGUUCCCACAGAUCCCAGCCAGCAGAGCAGGGUGAAAUCCUCCUGCUCUUUCUUAAAUCAAUAUCCACCCAUUCCCCCCUUCAACUCUUCCAAACUGCUCAGAGUGCAGCACUUGCCAGAAAGUGCAGCUGUUUUAGUUGGAAGUGCAUUAUUUUCUCUCAAGAGCUGCUUAUGAAAUUAAUAUUCCCAUCAGCCCUAAUGAAGAACUUUUCCCUACGAUGGAGCGUGCCACCCUGGCAUACUGAGCAGGCCCUGCCAACACAGACCAUCCCCAAGGCUUCAGAGCAACUCAGGCUGCAGGAGGAUCAGUCAGGCACACUGCAUUUGGGAUCACCUUUACUCUGCCAGGCGCAGAGCAGUUCCCAGCCCAUCACCUCACAGCUCGUGUCAGCCAGGAGUAAAUCACUGCAUCCCCAAGCUGAACUGGUAAAACAGGUCGGGGAACCCCAAAUCUCCACUUACUCCUGUGGAAAUUCAGGCAGUGUCAGGAGAAGUGAAGAAUUACUCUGCAGCGGUGCACGGACUUGUUUGGACAGGAAGGUUUUGAUGCUGCCUCAAAGCACAAGUGCAAGGCAAUGAUACCACUCAGAGCAUGGCCAAGACACCGAGAUGAGCACAGUUUCACCUCCUGAGCAUGUCCCAGCAGCUUCAGCAGCAUCCCAACCCACAGAAAGUGCCUCCUCUGCAAGCACAGCCUGUUCUCUUCGCUGCUGCCAACACGCCGGGACGCGCAGCCAGGGAAGCGCUGGGGAAGCUCCCAAGUUGUGCACUCCAGGCAUGCACGGCCACUCCCUGGCCCUGCUCCCCAGUGGCUGCUGAAGAAGAGCUCCCAGCGUCUUCCAGGAGCCCGCUGCUCGAAUUUCAGAAACGUCAUAGUAAUUUAAAACGUCCAAGGACUGCUCCUGAAAAAUCCUGCCAGGAUAGACAGGUCUGGCUGCCUUUACCUGCCCAAGCAGCCUCUCAUUGGCACCUGAAACAUGGGGCUAAGUCCUUUUCUCCUAUGGAAAAGGGUGUCCUUGUCUUCCAGGAGCCCAGUGAUGGAAUUUCAAUUCUACCUCCAAAAUUCAGGAAUUCUCAGCUGCCAGCACAGACAAAGCUGGCUGCCCUUUACCUCCCCUGCAACCCUCUCAUGGAAACAUGAAAAUCUGAGACUGCACCCUUCCCUUCCUAAGGAACAGAUCCUGGUUCCAGUCCCUGUGGCUGACAUUCUGGCUGCACCGCGGUGUGUGUGUGUGUGUGCAGAACCUCUCCUACCUCCUUCGGCAUUUCCCGUGGGAAGAAGAAGUAGGGCAGGGCAGACACGGCCACCAGGCUGGCGGCCACCAGGAACCCGAGCCACCAGGCCCCGACCCAGCGCGGGUCCUUGUUGGUGAGCUGCACCUCAGCUGCAACACAAGUGGGGAGAGGGGCAUCAGACCAAUGCUGGGACAAGGGAGGGAGCCCAGAGCACCGAAGGGUGGCCCCAGUCACCCCCGACAUCAAUCAGCCCCAAGGUGGUGGCUCCCAACCCAGGGACCAUCAGUUCUGGGGUCUGAGCAGCGUUUGCCGCCGAUCAUCCCAGCACUAAAUCACAUUUCAUUGUCCCUUUCCUAUUUCACUGCUGUCCCCAGGACGUCCAAAGAGCCACUCAGCCCUUUGGAUGGAGACAGCUGGGACAUGGAUGUCCUGGAUGCCCCUCUGCCCCACCGGCACAGGGCACAGAACCCACAGGAGGCUGGGAGCCCCUCUGCUUUAGGAGCUCUCCCAGGACCCGCUCCCUCACCUGCGCCGACUUUGUCGAUGUCCACGUAGAACCUCAGCAUGGCAGAGCCCAGCAUGAAGGCCACCCCCGGGCCGAUGACCGUCACGGAGAACAGGAUUCCUGCGAGGUGAAAGAAAAUACAAAGAAGGUGCAAAGAGCACUCCACUGAUGUUCACAGAGAUGGGUUCACGUGCCAUGAAAAGCCACCUUCAUCAAGGAAGUGGAGCUGAGGUCACUCCCAGGACCUUUCACUGACCUUCCAAUACAGGCCUAAACCAAGUUUCUGGAGCACUUACUGGCCACAGACUGGUCGUACUCGUAGGGCCCUGUAAUGAAGUGGGGCAGG
Molecule: long non-coding RNA, 4608 nt
Organism: Corvus hawaiiensis (hawaiian crow)
Lineage: Eukaryota; Metazoa; Chordata; Aves; Passeriformes; Corvidae
Exons: 10
Source: RefSeq, a predicted model, not a curated record